RNAcentral lists this ribosomal RNA (472 nucleotides) under uncultured bacterium. Its description in RNAcentral is "bacterial SSU rRNA". It matches the Rfam family "Bacterial small subunit ribosomal RNA", at positions 335 to 799 of the family's 1533-position model. The record is from RNAcentral.
ACUCCUACGGGAGGCAGCAGUGGGGAAUAUUGCACAAUGGGCGCAAGCCUGAUGCAGCCAUGCCGCGUGUGUGAAGAAGGCCUUCGGGUUGUAAAGCACUUUCAGUCGUGAGGAAGGUAGUGUAGUUAAUAGCUGCAUUAUUUGACGUUAGCGACAGAAGAAGCACCGGCUAACUCCGUGCCAGCAGCCGCGGUAAUACGGAGGGUGCGAGCGUUAAUCGGAAUUACUGGGCGUAAAGUGCAUGCAGGUGGUUUGUUAAGUCAGAUGUGAAAGCCCGGGGCUCAACCUCGGAAUUGCAUUUGAAACUGGCAGACUAGAGUACUGUAGAGGGGGUAGAAUUUCAGGUGUAGCGGUGAAAUGCGUAGAGAUCUGAAGGAAUACCGGUGGCGAAGGCGGCCCCCUGGACAGAUACUGACACUCAGAUGCGAAAGCGUGGGGAGCAAACAGGAUUAGAUACCCUGGUAGGAUAGCG